GCCAGCCUGCGUAAACACCAGUGUAAUUCUACGCACUCAGCGAAAUGGACCACAUGGACGUGUUUCACGUGGUGAAGCAUUGUCUGUGUAUUCUAAAGAAGGAGCUUUUGUGGACUUUGACCUCUACCUUGACAGGGUGACAACGACUACGGCUGAAAUCAUCAUAGACCCGCAUCUUCCGCCGUCCUGCUCACCGCGUUACUGCGGGGCGUAUAUAUGUCGCUUCUACAAGAGUGGAGCGAUCGUGAAAAAUUGUUGGGGUGAGGAGUGCGAGGCACGUAAAUCAUACAGCAGCGAAAUGGUCGUGAACUUAAAACAUCUCACUCCUGGAGGAUUUCAUACGUGCAGAGUUACCCUCAGGUACAACAAUGAAGUCGCAAAACAAAUCGGAUUCAACGCCA
This is a long non-coding RNA of Rhipicephalus microplus (southern cattle tick), 401 nucleotides long. NCBI's taxonomy places the organism in Eukaryota, Metazoa, Arthropoda, Arachnida, Ixodida, Ixodidae. The record is from RefSeq and is a predicted model, not a curated record.